This 459-nucleotide ribosomal RNA is filed under the name uncultured bacterium. Its description in RNAcentral is "partial 16S ribosomal RNA". It matches the Rfam family "Bacterial small subunit ribosomal RNA", at positions 338 to 794 of the family's 1533-position model. The record is from RNAcentral.
CCUACGGGAGGCAGCAGUGAGGAAUAUUGGUCAAUGGACGAGAGUCUGAACCAGCCAAGUAGCGUGAAGGAUGACUGCCCUAUGGGUUGUAAACUUCUUUUAUAAAGGAAUAAAACGAGGCACGUGUGCCUUUUUGCAUGUACUUUAUGAAUAAGGAUCGGCUAACUCCGUGCCAGCAGCCGCGGUAAUACGGAGGAUCCGAGCGUUCUCCGGAUUUAUUGGGUUUAAAGGGAGCGUAGAUGGGUUGUUAAGUCAGUUGGAAAAGUUUGCGGCUCAACCGUAAAAUUGCAAUUGAUACUGGCAGUCUUGAGUACAGUUGAGGUAGGCGAAAUUCGUGGUGUAGCGGUGAAAUGCUUAGAUAUCACGAAGAACCCCGAUUGCGAAGGCAGCUUACUAAACUGUGACUGACAUUGAUGCUCGAAAGUGUGGGUAUCAAACAGGAUUAGAUACCCUUGUAGC